CAGAGAUUAGUUUAACAAAACAACUACCUUCGAACUAGCAAUCUCAGGAACCCCUGA
This 57-nucleotide transfer RNA is filed under the name Acanthosaura lepidogaster. RNAcentral describes it as "tRNA-Arg". The record is from RNAcentral. Lineage: Eukaryota; Metazoa; Chordata; Lepidosauria; Squamata; Agamidae.